UACAGAGGGUGCAAGCGUUGUUCGGAAUUAUUGGGCGUAAAGCGCGUGUAGGCGGCUUUGCAAGUCGGGUGUGAAAGCCCUCAGCUUAACUGAGGAAGUGCGCCCGAAACUGCAGAGCUUGAGUACCGGAGAGGAUGGCGGAAUUCCCGAAGUAGAGGUGAAAUUCGUAGAUAUCGGGAGGAACACCGGUGGCGAAGGCGGCCAUCUGGACGGAUACUGACGCUGAGACGCGAAAGCGUGGGUAGCAAACAGG
RNAcentral lists this ribosomal RNA (253 nucleotides) under uncultured bacterium. RNAcentral's name for it is "partial 16S ribosomal RNA". It matches the Rfam family "Bacterial small subunit ribosomal RNA", at positions 524 to 776 of the family's 1533-position model. The record is from RNAcentral.